RNAcentral lists this ribosomal RNA (557 nucleotides) under Anser anser (Domestic goose). RNAcentral describes it as "partial 16S ribosomal RNA". It matches the Rfam family "Bacterial large subunit ribosomal RNA", at positions 852 to 1896 of the family's 2925-position model. The record is from RNAcentral. Lineage: Eukaryota; Metazoa; Chordata; Aves; Anseriformes; Anatidae.
GUUACCUGUGAAACGAAUCUAAGUUCCCCCUUAAUCCUCCCUACCGGACAUCCUGAACCCUAAUGAGAUGAUUAAGAGCUAUUUAAUGGAGGGACAGCUCCAUUAAAAAAGGACACAACCUCGACUAGCGGAUAAUUCUUACUACUGAUCCUACCGUGGGCCCUAAAGCAGCCAUCAAAAAAGAGUGCGUCAAAGCUCCACCACCUAAAAAUACCAAAAUAAGAUGAUUCCCUUAUCACAAACAGGUCAACCUAUGAAUAUAGGAGAAUUAAUGCUAAAAUAAGUAACUCAGGGCCACACCCCUCUAACGGCGCAAGCUUACAUAGAAACAUUAUUAACAGACCUAGACAGAUACAAAAACCCCUACAAGACCACGUAUUAACUAACCCUGUUAACCCGACUCAGGAGCGCCUAUAAGAGCGAUUAAAAUCUGUGAAAGGAACUCGGCAAAUUAAUAAGGCCCGACUGUUUACCAAAAACAUAGCCUUCAGCAAAUUAAACAAGUAUUGAAGGUGAUGCCUGCCCGGUGACUUAGGUUUAACGGCCGCGGUAUCCUA